This 77-nucleotide transfer RNA is filed under the name Acidobacteriota bacterium. Its description in RNAcentral is "Acidobacteria bacterium tRNA-Pro". It matches the Rfam family "tRNA". Rfam says of the family: Transfer RNA (tRNA) molecules are approximately 80 nucleotides in length. The record is from RNAcentral. Lineage: Bacteria; Pseudomonadati; Acidobacteriota.
CGGGACGUAGCGCAGCUUGGUAGCGCGCAGCGUUCGGGACGCUGAGGUCGUCGGUUCGAAUCCGGCCGUCCCGACUA